AUACGUAGGUGGCAAGCGUUGUCCGGAAUUAUUGGGCGUAAAGCGCAUGUAGGCGGUUUGGUAAGUCGGUCGUGAAAAUGCGGUGCUUAACGCCGUAUGGCGAUUGAAACUGCUGAACUUGAGUGCAGGAGAGGAAAGGGGAACUCCCAGUGUAGCGGUGAAAUGCGUUGAUAUUGGGAAGAACACCGGUGGCGAAGGCGCGUUUCUGGAAUGUGUCGGAAGUUCGGAGGCGAAAGCCAGGGUAGCGAACGGGAUUAGAUACCCCGGUAGUCCUGGCCGUAAACGAUGGGUACUAGGUGUGGGAGGUAUCGACUCCUUCCGUGCCGGAGUUAACGCAAUAAGUACCCCGCCUGGGGAGUACGGCCGCAAGGCUAAAACUCAAAGGAAUUGACGGGG
RNAcentral lists this ribosomal RNA (396 nucleotides) under uncultured bacterium. Its description in RNAcentral is "partial 16S ribosomal RNA". It matches the Rfam family "Bacterial small subunit ribosomal RNA", at positions 523 to 918 of the family's 1533-position model. The record is from RNAcentral.